Centruroides sculpturatus (bark scorpion) is the source of this 416-nucleotide long non-coding RNA. RefSeq lists it as uncharacterized. The record is from RefSeq and is a predicted model, not a curated record. The transcript is spliced from 3 exons. Lineage: Eukaryota; Metazoa; Arthropoda; Arachnida; Scorpiones; Buthidae.
AUUGUAUUCGUCUUUUGUAUUGUUUUUCUUUCGUUAUUUUUUCUUCUUGUUUUCUUUCUUUCAGUUUUUGUUCCUUUAUCUGUAGAAGUAAGUAUUAAUAUUUCUAUAAUCUAGUACUGUCAUAUGUUUAAAUAAAUGAAAUAAUGAUAAAAGUUUAUUGUUUGUGUAGUUAUCCAAGAUGUGGAAUUUGUUGAUAUCACUCUACUUUCAAGUGAUCGAUUCGAAUUCAGAAUUAAAGAUCUUGAACCUGCUUCAAAUUCAGAAAAGUACAAAGGACGGAAUGAGUUGUAACAAGUUCUUUAUUUUCAAUAAGAUGUUUAUUAUAAAACUAAUAAACUACGUCUUUAUCCAGAUAAUGGUAUUCACACAACUUAGUUAUAGUUACAGAAGUCAUUUCAACUCGGAUCGUGCAAGCU